Molecule: long non-coding RNA, 431 nt
Organism: Haplochromis burtoni (Burton's mouthbrooder)
Lineage: Eukaryota; Metazoa; Chordata; Actinopteri; Cichliformes; Cichlidae
Exons: 3
Source: RefSeq, a predicted model, not a curated record
UCAGAUUCGCAUUACUGGUGUUUGUGUGACAGUUUAAGUUUCGUUUUCUUUUCUACGGAAAAGGCAGUGGCUCUUUCAUUUGCGGUGUGUCCUGAGCUGCAGCUGCUGGUAACAUCUACACACAGGAGUUAUGUUCUCGUCUGUUAAAGAAAAAAACAGUGGCUUUAGCUUUGGAGUUACUGCAAGUACAACCAAACCCUCACGUUCUAAUGGAUUGACACCACUCACAGCAGCUUCAACUACUUCAGUCCAACCUGCUUUUGGCACAAUAACUCUCACCAGAGAUGAUAACAGCGAAGUCACAAAUAGUUCAGAGACAAGGGAACCAAGACCUCAGUUCACAUUCUUGGCCAGGAAGGAGUGGCCAAAGGGGAGGACACCCAGGAAGAGUUCAGGAAAAAGCUGUCAGAAUGGUAUGUUUGAUACUAGUC